UCUAGGAACAAGGAACUGUGGGAAAUGUUGAUCGGAAGCAUGAUAGAGCCUGCAUUGCUCUGCAGGCCACCUGGAGAGUUCUGGACAGAAUAAACCCUACAGGCCAAUGUACCUGUGACAGCUACCCUCCCACACCAGGCCAGGUCACUGGUGACUUUCCCAAAAAACCUCUUCAAAAAAUCUGGGAGUCUGGAGAUCCCCAAGCUGGGCCUCCCGUUCUGCAGCCUUGGCAAGCCUCACCAUGUCCUUGAGUAAUGCCUGUCCCUGAGAACCAUCACCCCCAAGGUCCACUGAGCCAACCUGAACAGCAGGGGGCAAAGGAGUUAAGGGCCUGGCCCUGCCCUGGCUCUUCCUCUUAACCCCAAGUGCCUAGUUGUCCUGUGAGCUACGCGCCCAUACUGCCUAACUCCCAGAUCCAACACAUACAGUCCCUGGGCUUGUCACACCACAGACGUCCUGGACUCCCAGGACUCAUUUUUUAAGCCAUCUGAGUAUCCACAUUUCUCAGGAAUCAUUCUCAAAAAUCCCCAUUUCUCCCUAAUGAAUGCUCCUGGCAUCUACUGGUGGUCAUGAAAUGGGCCAAGUCACUGAAAGAACCAUUUGUCAACUCUGUCCUGACAACAUCACUGGGGCUGCAGGUAAGUGGCUGCCAGACUCCGGGGUCUGGGGUCUGGCCCAGCUCUGCUGAGGACUCCGGAGGGGACCUUCUCUGUGUAUAUCAGAAGGUAUCUGAGUUUCAGUUCCCACAAAGGCAGAUGCCAAGACAAGGAUUUGCUUCAAGGCGUCUUAUCUGGCAGGUGUUUGGGGGAGGCACAGUGAGUGAGGCAACAGAGGAGGACGGCUUGGGAUCCCAGAGAGCACUCGGGAACCGCAGAGCCUGAAGACAUGACGUGGCUGUGCCCCUGUCUCUUGGCCAGUUAAACUCACAUGAAGAUCCGAGAUAUAACGGUGAAAAGCUCUGACGCAGAGUCAGUGCUCUGGAAACAGCAGUUGCUAUGAUAAUAGUUAUGAGAACCCCUGUGAGGAUUAAAUAACACACUGAGAUAGCCCAGUCCUGCAUCGUCUCA
Molecule: long non-coding RNA, 1067 nt
Organism: Herpailurus yagouaroundi (jaguarundi)
Lineage: Eukaryota; Metazoa; Chordata; Mammalia; Carnivora; Felidae
Exons: 2
Source: RefSeq, a predicted model, not a curated record